This is a non-coding RNA of Doryrhamphus excisus (bluestripe pipefish), 571 nucleotides long. NCBI's taxonomy places the organism in Eukaryota, Metazoa, Chordata, Actinopteri, Syngnathiformes, Syngnathidae. The record is from RefSeq and is a predicted model, not a curated record.
UGGUAUUUAGUCUCGGGGAUCCAAGCACGUAUUGUCAUCAAAUAUUUCACCUCGUCAGAGUCGGUUUGCAAAAAUUUGAAUAGUCAAAAUAUUAACAGAAAAUUUUUUUUUUAUAAUGUUGGAAUAAAGUCAUAAUAUUUUACAUGAGGAAAGUAGAUAUUGUAUAGCUGGAAAAGUAAAAGGGGCAAUAAAGUAGAAAAUAUACAAGAAGGUUGAAAUAAUUUUAUUAAAUUUUACUACAAUAGAGUGAAAAUAUUAAAGAAAUAUAUUAAAAUAUUUAAUAAAAAAUCUUAAAAUAAAUACAAAUAUUUAUUACAUGAGGAAAGUAGAUAUUGUAUAGCCGGAAAAGUAAAAGGGGCAAUAAAGUAGAAAAUAUACAAGAAGGUUGAAAUCAUUUUAUUAGAUUUUACUACAAUAAAGUGAAAAUAUUUAAAACAAUAUUAAAUAUAUAAAUAUGAAAUAUUAAAAUAUUUAAUAAAAUAUUAAAAUAAAUAAAAAUAUUUAUUACUUGAGGAAAGUAGAUAUUGUAUAGCUGGAAAAGUAAAAGGGGCAAUAAAGUGAAAAUAUUAAA